Molecule: long non-coding RNA, 592 nt
Filed under: Mytilus galloprovincialis (Mediterranean mussel)
Lineage: Eukaryota; Metazoa; Mollusca; Bivalvia; Mytilida; Mytilidae
Source: RNAcentral
UAUAUUUUAUAUAUAUAUAUUUACUGAUGAUAUUUUAAAGUUCAUACUCUUCAUUUAAUACAUGAUAAAAACAUCUUUUCUGUUUAAUGGUUGAUUAUUAAAGAAGAGAAACUAUGAUAAUUUAAUUAUCGCAUAUUAUUCCUUAACAUUCGUUAUGUUUGUGGUCCUUGAGUAAGACCAAGUUUGUUUUUUAAUGGGAAUUUAAUUUCAUCCAUUAUUUUAUAUUCUUUUUUUGUUUGUUUAUUUCAUGCCUUAACUAUGGACGAAGAGCGCUAAGAAUGGUAUUCAUCUACGAAAGAACUUUCCCCAUUGAAGGACAUGUGCAAUAAAGCGUGAUAUCAACAACUUACAUAAUAUAUAUACUUUCAUUUGUCAACGGUAUGCCAUAAGUCCGAUAAUACAAACAUACGAAUAUUGAUGGAUUACUGUUUCACUGACAUUAAUGACACUUACCUAAUUUAGAUCAGAAUUUUGAUCCAAAAGUGCGAGUCGUAUCAACAUUGACUAACCAAUGCCUAAUUUUACUGUUUUAUAAAUACAAAUUUACAAAAUACGACUUCGAUCAGCAUUUUGAUACACAACUGGACCCUAG